Molecule: ribosomal RNA, 526 nt
Filed under: uncultured bacterium
Lineage: Bacteria
Description: partial 16S ribosomal RNA
Rfam family: Bacterial small subunit ribosomal RNA
Source: RNAcentral
UGGGGAAUAUUGCACAAUGGGCGCAAGCCUGAUGCAGCCAUGCCGCGUGUGUGAAGAAGGCCUCGGGUUGUAAAGCACUUUCAGCGAGGAGGAAGGUGGUGAGCUUAAUACGCUCAUCAAUUGACGUUACUCGCAGAAGAAGCACCGGCUAACUCCGUGCCAGCAGCCGCGGUAAUACGGAGGGUGCAAGCGUUAAUCGGAAUUACUGGGCGUAAAGCGCACGCAGGCGGUUUGUUAAGUCAGAUGUGAAAUCCCCGGGCUCAACCUGGGAACUGCAUUUGAAACUGGCAAGCUAGAGUCUCGUAGAGGGGGGUAGAAUUCCAGGUGUAGCGGUGAAAUGCGUAGAGAUCUGGAGGAAUACCGGUGGCGAAGGCGGCCCCCUGGACGAAGACUGACGCUCAGGUGCGAAAGGCGUGGGGCAGCAAACAGGAUUAGAUACCCUGGUAGUCCACGCUGUAAACGAUGUCGAUUUUGGAGGUUGUGCCCUUGAGGCGUGGCUUCCGGAGCUAACGCGUUAAAUCGACCG